GGUAAAAAGUAACCAACUUUAACUUUGCGUCGUCAAUUUUACAGCGUCCCCCUUUCCCUCUCCCUUGAGCGCUUGGAGGAAUAAGGUGUAACAGAACAAAUAGAGCUGCUAUUGAUUUGUCCCAAUUAUCUGUGACAACAAAACAGUGGUUAGCAAUUUAUUUACGAAAUUUAUGAUUAUUAGAUUUACGGAAACACUUACCAUAAUUAUUGUUUGCGAAUUUCAAUAGGGCUGGCGAAUUACUUAAAGUUUUGCAGUGCGCAAUCAAUCGGUCAGCAAAUUCCGGCCACGUGUUUAGAAAGUUUUGUUCAAGUAAUUUACAAUUCCGUCUGGCGUUCCCGGAUAUUUCCAGAAAGGCAGAAUUUCAACAAUCGCCUUUGCAAAAGAUAUCUGGUCUCGAGUGCAUGUCUACCAAUUUCGACACAAACUCGUUAACAAUUAUUGCCGCCGCUGAGUUAUCGACGAGGGACUUCUCUCUGCACUCCAAGAUUAGAUUCGCCAAACGCGGCGUCUUCUCGACAUAUUCCUCUAAUAUCUAAUAUCGAAAAAAAUCAAAAAUUGUAGUUACUAUGUACUUGUUAGAAUAUAUUGAGCUGAUGAACUGUUUACCUGCUUAAAUACAUCAACGUCACCAAGUCCUAAUGAUGGCGAAACUGGUGAUGGCGCCGGUGAACACAAUGGACUUGGCACUACAAAAUUAUUAAUUAUUAUUAAUUAUCAGGUCAUAUAUUAAUUCCUGGAGGUAUUACUUAUCUAUGUAGUACUUACAAUAAUAAAUUUG
This is a long non-coding RNA of Folsomia candida, 781 nucleotides long. RefSeq lists it as uncharacterized. Lineage: Eukaryota; Metazoa; Arthropoda; Collembola; Entomobryomorpha; Isotomidae. The transcript has 3 exons. The record is from RefSeq and is a predicted model, not a curated record.